CUUCCUGUUGCCCUAACACAGACCUCCUUUUCUUCUCUGUUAAACGGCUGCUAAACCCUAAACCGCGCGCAUGAGUAUGAAGCCCAUACCCCUGAAUCCCUUGCUCGUGAAUAUUGAGAAGCCUUUGCUUUCCCCGUUGCCCUGCCCUCGCUCCACACUUGAUUCGAUCGGUUGCUUCUCCACCAUCUCCGGUUAAAUUAAAGGUCUAUUUGUUUUGUUCUUGCUUGCAGAGCCACUCCAUGUUAGAUUCUUCUUGCUUAAUAGAGCCAGACAUGCAUUCUGAUUUCAGAUAUCUUUGAUUAGCUUUGACUCUUUGCUUCUACCACUUUCCUUUCUUAACUUGUUAUCUUCUUCUACUUGUUUUACUCAAUUUGUCGUGCAAAACACUUUGCUUUCCCCUAUAUUUAUUCCGAGAAAGAGAAGAAGAACAAUUCAGGGUCUGGUGCUUGGCUUUAAAGGAGGGACAAAGCUGAAACGUGGCUAGCAAAGGAAAAAAGGUGUUGUUAUUGGUAUCUGAAUAAGUUAUUGGAACCAACAAAGAAAGAAGAGAUGGAAGCAGAAAUCUAGAAUGAAAAACACAAUUUUAAUGUGGCUCGGGAGGUGGUGUCAGUUUUGAAUCCUGAAAGACUUGACCGCAAUGGCAAAAGCUGGAAAACUUGACCCAGUCAUAGGAAGAGAUGAUGAAAUACGCAGGUGCAUCCAAAUUCUUUCUAGG
Molecule: non-coding RNA, 715 nt
Organism: Cajanus cajan (pigeon pea)
Lineage: Eukaryota; Viridiplantae; Streptophyta; Magnoliopsida; Fabales; Fabaceae
Source: RefSeq, a predicted model, not a curated record